AGUGAACGCUGGCGGUAGGCCUAACACAUGCAAGUCGAACGGCAGCACAGUAAGAGCUUGCUCUUACGGGUGGCGAGUGGCGGACGGGUGAGGAAUACAUCGGAAUCUACUUUUUCGUGGGGGAUAACGUAGGGAAACUUACGCUAAUACCGCAUACGACCUACGGGUGAAAGCAGGGGAUCUUCGGACCUUGCGCGAUUGAAUGAGCCGAUGUCGGAUUAGCUAGUUGGCGGGGUAAAGGCCCGCCAAGGCGACGAUCCGUAGCUGGUCUGAGAGGAUGAUCAGCCACACUGGAACUGAGACACGGUCCAGACUCCUACGGGAGGCAGCAGUGGGGAAUAUUGGACAAUGGGCGCAAGCCUGAUCCAGCCAUACCGCGUGGGUGAAGAAGGCCUUCGGGUUGUAAAGCCCUUUUGUUUGGAAAGAAAAGCAGCAGGUUAAUACCCCGCUGUUCUGACGGUACCCAAAGAAUAAGCACCGGCUAACUUCGUG
This 492-nucleotide ribosomal RNA is filed under the name uncultured bacterium. Its description in RNAcentral is "partial 16S ribosomal RNA". It matches the Rfam family "Bacterial small subunit ribosomal RNA", at positions 29 to 507 of the family's 1533-position model. The record is from RNAcentral.